Small nucleolar RNA from Erinaceus europaeus (western European hedgehog), 79 nucleotides. The record is from Ensembl. Lineage: Eukaryota; Metazoa; Chordata; Mammalia; Eulipotyphla; Erinaceidae.
GUCAAACAAUGAUGUGGUAAUUUUCAAACACAUAUCUGAUGAUUCCAUGUAGAAUUCAGUCACUAUGAGUUUCCUGGGG